GCCUUCGUAGCUCAGCUGGAUAGAGCAGCCGCCUCCUAAGCGGCAGGUCGAACGUUCGAAUCGUUUCGAGGGCACCA
This 77-nucleotide transfer RNA is filed under the name Gammaproteobacteria bacterium. Its description in RNAcentral is "tRNA-Arg". It matches the Rfam family "tRNA". From Rfam's summary of the family: Transfer RNA (tRNA) molecules are approximately 80 nucleotides in length. Their secondary structure includes four short double-helical elements and three loops (D, anti-codon, and T loops). The record is from RNAcentral. Lineage: Bacteria; Pseudomonadati; Pseudomonadota; Gammaproteobacteria. RNAcentral also lists the same sequence under 3 other names.